This 431-nucleotide ribosomal RNA is filed under the name uncultured bacterium. Its description in RNAcentral is "partial 16S ribosomal RNA". It matches the Rfam family "Bacterial small subunit ribosomal RNA", at positions 29 to 507 of the family's 1533-position model. The record is from RNAcentral.
AACGAACGCUGGCGGCAGGCUUAACACAUGCAAGUCGAACGCCCCGCAAGGGGAGUGGCAGACGGGUGAGUAACGCGUGGGAACAUACCCUUUUCUACGGAAUAGCUCUGGGAAACUGGAAUUAAUACCGUAUACGCCCUACGGGGGAAAGAUUUAUCGGGGAAGGAUUGGACCGCGGUGGAUUAGCUAGUUGGGGGGGUAAAGGCCUACCAAGGCGACGAUCCAUAGCUGGGCUGAGAGGAUGAUCAGCCACAUUGGGACUGAGACACGGCCCAAACUCCUACGGGAAGCAGCAGUGGGGAAUAUUGGACAAUCGGCGCAAGCCUGAUCCAGCCAUGCCGCGUGAGUGAUGAAGGCCUUAGGGUUGUAAAGCUCUUUCACCGAUGAAGAUAAUGACGGUAGUCAGAGAAGAAGCCCCGGCUAACUUCGUG